UACGUAGGGGGCAAGCGUUGUCCGGAAUUAUUGGGCGUAAAGCGCACGUAGGCGGUCGGCUAUGUCGGAUGUGAAAGCCUCGGGCUUAACCCGAGAAGGGCAUCCGAAACUGGCCGGCUUGAGUACGGAAGAGGGUCUCGGAAUUCCCGGUGUAGAGGUGAAAUUCGUAGAUAUCGGGAGGAACACCAGUGGCGAAGGCGGAGACCUGGGCCGAUACUGACGCUGAGGUGCGAAAGCGUGGGGAGCAAACAGG
RNAcentral lists this ribosomal RNA (253 nucleotides) under uncultured bacterium. Its description in RNAcentral is "partial 16S ribosomal RNA". It matches the Rfam family "Bacterial small subunit ribosomal RNA", at positions 524 to 776 of the family's 1533-position model. The record is from RNAcentral.